UAAGCGUGUAGGCUGGUUUUCCAGGCAAAUCCGGAAAAUCAAGGCUGAGGCGUGAUGACGAGGCACUACGGUGCUGAAGCGACAAAUGCCCUGCUUCCAGGAAAAGCCUCUAAGCAUCAGGUAACAUCAAAUCGUACCCCAAACCGACACAGGUGGUCAGGUAGAGAAUACCAAGGCGCUUGAGAGAACUCGGGUGAAGGAACUAGGCAAAAUGGUGCCGUAACUUCGGGAGAAGGCACGCUGAUAUGUAGGUGAAGCGACUUGCUCGUGGAGCUGAAAUCAGUCGAAGAUACCAGCUGGCUGCAACUGUUUAUUAAAAACACAGCACUGUGCAAACACGAAAGUGGACGUAUACGGUGUGACGCCUGCCCGGUGCCGGAAGGUUAAUUGAUGGGGUUAGCGGUAACGCGAAGCUCUUGAUCGAAGCCCCGGUAAACGGCGGCCGUAACUAUAACGGUCCUAAGGUAGCGAAAUUCCUUGUCGGGUAAGUUCCGACCUGCACGAAUGGCGUAAUGAUGGCCAGGCUGUCUCCACCCGAGACUCAGUGAAAUUGAACUCGCUGUGAAGAUGCAGUGUACCCGCGGCAAGACGGAAAGACCCCGUGAACCUUUACUAUAGCUUGACACUGAACAUUGAGCCUUGAUGUGUAGGAUAGGUGGGAGGCUUUGAAGUGUGGACGCCAGUCUGCAUGGAGCCGACCUUGAAAUACCACCCUUUAAUGUUUGAUGUUCUAACGUGGGCCCCUUACCGGGGUUGCGGACAGUGUCUGGUGGGUAGUUUGACUGGGGCGGUCUCCUCCUAAAGAGUAACGGAGGAGCACGAAGGUUGGCUAAUCCUGGUCGGACAUCAGGAGGUUAGUGCAAUGGCAUAAGCCAGCUUGACUGCGAGCGUGACGGCGCGAGCAGGUGCGAAAGCAGGUCAUAGUGAUCCGGUGGUUCUGAAUGGAAGGGCCAUCGCUCAACGGAUAAAAGGUACUCCGGGGAUAACAGGCUGAUACCGCCCAAGAGUUCAUAUCGACGGCGGUGUUUGGCACCUCGAUGUCGGCUCAUCACAUCCUGGGGCUGAAGUAGGUCCCAAGGGUAUGGCUGUUCGCCAUUUAAAGUGGUACGCGAGCUGGGUUUAGAACGUCGUGAGACAGUUCGGUCCCUAUCUGCCGUGGGCGCUGGAGAACUGAGGGGGGCUGCUCCUAGUACGAGAGGACCGGAGUGGACGCAUCACUGGUGUUCGGGUUGUCAUGCCAAUGGCACUGCCCGGUAGCUAAAUGCGGAAGAGAUAAGUGCUGAAAGCAUCUAAGCACGAAACUUGCCCCGAGAUGAGUUCUCCCUGACUCCUUGAGAGUCCUGAAGGAACGUUGAAGACGACGACGUUGAUAGGCCGGGUGUGUAAGCGCAGCGAUGCGUUGAGCUAACCGGUACUAAUGAACCGUGAGGCUUAACCUU
This 1439-nucleotide ribosomal RNA is filed under the name Escherichia coli. Its description in RNAcentral is "partial 23S ribosomal RNA". It matches the Rfam family "Bacterial large subunit ribosomal RNA", at positions 1513 to 2925 of the family's 2925-position model. The record is from RNAcentral. Lineage: Bacteria; Pseudomonadati; Pseudomonadota; Gammaproteobacteria; Enterobacterales; Enterobacteriaceae.